Molecule: long non-coding RNA, 2162 nt
Filed under: Homo sapiens (human)
Lineage: Eukaryota; Metazoa; Chordata; Mammalia; Primates; Hominidae
Description: non-protein coding lnc-FAM86B2-58:6
Source: RNAcentral
CGAGGACGGGGAGGACGCGCCGCGGCCGGGCAGGGAGGAGACCGGCACCCAGACAGGUGGCGACGGCAAAGGAGCGGAAUUCUCCACGAGUUUUGAGCAGCCUCGGUUUUCCCACCCCCUCCAAAUCAUGGAAGAAACAGGGUGCAGGCAGAGCCCCUGGAGCCAUGGCCAGCCCUUCCGGCAGCUCCGAAGCCACUGGCAAGCCCCGAGGCAGGGAUGGCCGGCCCAGGAGGGAGGAGGACGACGUCCCUCCUGAAGAGAAGAGGCUGCGGCUGUUGCUGGAGGGGGGAAGAGCACAGCCCGAGGACUGCGAGGACGGGGAGGACGCGCUGCGGCCGGGCAAGGAGGACACCGGCACCCAGACAGGUGGCGACGGCAGAGGAUUUCUAUGGAAAUACUCUUUCUGAAGAACCCAUGAAGCAGUGUCAGGCUGGUACGAGGAUCAGCAGUGAUUUCUUUGAGGACAAGAGCCAGUUUCUUCACUCACAGGCCAUGUCUGAGUGGAUCAAGAAGAACAGAGUGCCCUUUUAUGAGAUUUUGUCUGCGUAGACCACUAGCUUGGUAAAAAUGCCAAAACCAUCCUCGUUCUUUAAUAUCAGAUUAUUUUGGACUUUUCUCUAUAAGAAGCAGCAUGGGCAUUCAGAUGCUUUUAAGGAUAAAAUGUUCUUUCUCAUCACCAGGCCUGGUGCUCUGGAUGGCUGAGGUUUUAAUGUGACUUGGUGUCCCUUGGAGUGGCUCCCAGGCUGUGCUCUUGUGGUUGGGUGGCAAGGGGUUUCUUUAUUCGGUGGUGGCUAGAGGAUGUUUUAGCAGAUAAAUCGGGACCCCAGGAGCCCCUGUGUUGCAAGUCCUGCUGCAGGGCAUGUGUUUAUAGUGGGGAUGUGGGGAGGUGGAGGGUGGGGUGCAUUGAUUUCCUGCCAAUAUCAGAAGUUUCACAGGCUUCUUGUGUAUCCACAAACACCGACCCCAUUGAGAAGGCCUAGAAAACCUGGCCCUCCCCAAGCCUUUAUUGACAACUUGUGAAUGAUCCCAGGGUGUGUCUGACCCACAGCUCCUCCUGGAGGGAGAGCAAAGUCUCUCCUAGGUAUUUGGUUAUCAACCUCAACCACUUGCUGAGCCUUCCCCAAGACCACCAGGCACCUUGGCAGAGAUUUCUGGGUUGUCAGGCAGAACCGAGCAUUCAAGGGUGAUAACUCACUGGAGUCCCUGAAAUCCCUGAUGGAUGCACCAGGUAAAAGCAUCCAGGGUUGAAACCAGAUCAGGAAGGUUAUUGUCAGCCUGGGGCUCCUGUAGAGGUGCAUCCACGUUGCAGGUAUUUUCCUUCUUGCUGAGGAGAAACCUGGAUUUCUCAGCUUUGGCACCGUCACAACAUUUGGGGUGAGACCAUUCGUGGUGGUGGUGGGGGGGCAUCCUGUGUAUUGUAGGACGGUUAGCAGCAUCUGUGGUCUCCAUCCUCUAGGUGCCAUUCUACCCUCCCAGUUAUGGCUACCCCAGAUGUCUCCAGAUGGUUUCAAUGCUGUGGGGCAAGGGAGUGCUGGACUACACAGGCUGAAGCUCUCUCUGCCGAGAUAUAGAUAUUUCCCUGGCAAUGAUCUUUCAAGUUGACAUGAAGACAUGGCCAUCCGCUGGAACAUCGUGGGUCUGCCGUAGUGCUCUUGUAAUUUGUGAGGCAGGCUCCUGAUGAAUGCAGUGCAACUCAAGGGACAGGAAGGAGAUGAGUUGGAGGCUGGGACAGGGGUCCCUGCCAGGGAUGCUGGUGACUCACGUGACGGUGUUGAUGUGUGGAGUCCGGUGCCUGGUUUGGGGAAUGUUCGUGGGAUAUGUUCCAAAGGACUGACAGACCUAUCAGGUGCAGUGGUUCACACCUGUAAUCCCAGCACUUUGGGAGGCCGAGGCUGGCGGAUCACCUAAGGUCAGGAGUUCGAGACCAGCCUGGUCAACAUGGCAAAACUGUCUCUACUAAAAAUACAGAAAUUAGCCAGGUGUGAUGGCACACACCUGCAAUCCCAGCUACUUGGGAGGCUGAGGCAGGAGAAUCGUUUGCACCUGGGAGACAGAGGUUGCAGUCAGCCGAGAUUGAACCACUGUACUUCAGCCAGCCUGGGUGACAGAGCGAGACUCUGUUUCAAAAAUAAAUAAAUAAAUAAAAUAGAAUUCUGAAUUUU